RNAcentral lists this ribosomal RNA (254 nucleotides) under uncultured bacterium. Its description in RNAcentral is "partial 16S ribosomal RNA". It matches the Rfam family "Bacterial small subunit ribosomal RNA", at positions 524 to 776 of the family's 1533-position model. The record is from RNAcentral.
UACGUAGGGUGCGAGCGUUGUCCGGAAUUAUUGGGCGUAAAGGGCUCGUAGGCGGUCUGUCACGUCGGGAGUGAAAACACGGGGCUUAACCCCGUGCCUGCUUCCGAUACGGGCAGACUAGAGGUAUGCAGGGGGAGAACGGAAUUCCUGGUGUAGCGGUGAAAUGCGCAGAUAUCAGGAGGAACACCGGUGGCGAAGGCGGUCUCUGGGCAUUACCUGACGCUGAGGAGCGAAAGUGUGGGGGAGCGAACAGG